AAAUUGAAGAGUUUGAUCAUGGCUCAGAUUGAACGCUGGCGGCAGGCCUAACACAUGCAAGUCGAGCGGAAACGAGUUAUCUGAACCUUCGGGGAACGAUAACGGCGUCGAGCGGCGGACGGGUGAGUAAUGCCUAGGAAAUUGCCCUGGUGUGGGGGAUAACCAUUGGAAACGAUGGCUAAUACCGCAUAAUGCCUUCGGGCCAAAGAGGGGGACCUUCGGGCCUCUCGCGUCAGGAUAUGCC
RNAcentral lists this ribosomal RNA (244 nucleotides) under Vibrio vulnificus. RNAcentral's name for it is "partial 16S ribosomal RNA". It matches the Rfam family "Bacterial small subunit ribosomal RNA", at positions 1 to 231 of the family's 1533-position model. The record is from RNAcentral. Lineage: Bacteria; Pseudomonadati; Pseudomonadota; Gammaproteobacteria; Vibrionales; Vibrionaceae.